RNAcentral lists this long non-coding RNA (1680 nucleotides) under Sus scrofa (pig). RNAcentral describes it as "lncRNA (ENSSSCG00065033345.1)". The record is from RNAcentral. Lineage: Eukaryota; Metazoa; Chordata; Mammalia; Artiodactyla; Suidae.
AGCAGCCCUGGGGCUUGAACCCCAACAAAUCCCAACAGCUCCCUUGCUUCCCCUCCCCCAGGGCCAAUAGAAUGGCAGUGAUCCUCGCCAGGCCCCCACCCCCCGUGUCACCUGGUCCUGAGGUGAAGGAACGGAGGCCCUUGGAGCGAAGGGAGCUGCUCUGCAAACUGUAGAGUGUGGUGACAAUGGAAGGAGGCAUGCCUAUUCUCUGCCGACCCCUCUCUGGGAGCAGGGCCCUUGCCUGGGAGACUCCCUGGGCCCUAAACGCUUGCUCUGCCCUCAGGUUCCUCCGCCCCUUCCAAAGGACUCUCCUGCCACCUGGGCCCACAACUGCCUGCCUCCUGGUGCCUCCAGAGAGGUCCCAGAACCUUCUGGAACAUUCCCCGCAAAGGACUCUGAAGAUCGCCUCCACCUGGCCUGAGCCCUGCAGGCCCGGCUGGGAAGCCCCUCCUGACUCCCACUCCAGUGCUCACAGGGCUGAGCCCAGAUCUCCGCAGCUUCUGUUCAGUUCUGGGGGGGAGACUAUUUCCAGGGGUGAUGGCUACAGGGAUCCAGGCGUGUUUGCCUCCUGGAAAUGUGCAGAAAAAUCCGUGACCUGUCUGAACCCACGUGGAGAAAACUGGAGGAGGAGUGAACUCAGGAUGGAUGAAUAAUGCCAAAGAUAAACACGUAAUAAAUAGGGCCAGCUCCCGCCGAGGCUCCAGGACCGCCAUGCCCCGCUAUUUGAUGUCCCCGGGCAGAGGCAGACAGGAAGGGCCUGCUUCCAGAGAGCCAAACACCACCCCCUGCCUGGUCUGGACCAGCAAAGUGCCUAGGGACAAUCUCUGAGCCUCUCCCGUGGAUCCAUGGCCACAGUUUCCCCGUCUCUGCAAAUGACCGAGAGAGGCUGGAGGGACGAUUUGACGAGACGCUGUCCCUGCUCCAGCUCAGGGCAGCUCCAGCAUCAUUUGCGCUGUGCACCUUCUACCCCAUCAGAGGUUCCAGCCCGAGCCCUGCAGGGGCCUGGAGUCACAGGAAGAGGGGCACAAUUUCCCAGCAGCCCCAUUGGAGGACCACAGCGAAGUUGUUGGAUGUCCAGGGCACCUUGGCAAGUGGUCCUCUACCCACAGAGCCAGUGAGCCCCCAAAACGUCAUCGUCUUCCCUGGGAACCACUGCCCACAGGUUGCACAUGGCCAUCCUGCUUCCUCACCUCCCAUUGCCCGUAGCUACCCUGCCUCCACCGGGAAUUGCACAUCUGCCCAUCUGUCCACCUUACCUGCCAUCAUCCGUCUCCCGCCCAGAAUCCACACCAGUCUCUUCCAGGAGCCCCUCCAGGAUGGCCCCCAGCGAUCCCCAUUCCAUAAAGGGCCCUGCAGUUCUGGUGAAGUGUCACCCCAGCUCACGAUGACCCAGUAGCUCCAAUGGCCCUUAUGAAGCAGCUCCUUUCCUUGGCUUUGAAGGCUCCUGAUGCUGGGUUCCUGGCCACCUUCUGACUCCCAGCCUGAACCUCGGCUCCAACCAGAUCAGCAACUUUCUGGACCUCUGUGCCCUUGAACAAACAUGCUGUUCAGAGGACUGGAAUUCUCUUCUUCUUUUUUUAGGGCUGCACCUAUGGCAUAUGGAAGUUCCCGGGCUAGGGGUCGAAUCAGAGCUGCAGUUGCCAGCCUACGCCACAGUCACAGCAAUGCCAGAUCCUUAAC